UAUCGGAUUUGCAACACAACCACCUUCAAUCCACGUAGCACCCAUUUCCGCUAUCACAUCGCCCAACCAGCAGGAGUGAAUUCGACCGCCCGGUCUGAAAUUAGAAAUAAAUUGGCCAAUUGCAGCAACAGCAGGAUCUCAUAAUGAUAAAACGUAUAUAUGACUUCACGUGAUUGAUAUUCUGCAUACCUUGUGAGAUAUCGCUGCAGCCUCCAGGAUAAUACCCUGGAUUUUGGAAGGAGCAUCUCAUUGGAUGAAAAUUGUUGAAACCAAGGAGAUUUAUCAUAAAAGAAUAAUAUUUAAUCCUGUUUAAUUUCUCGUAAAUUUGGAUGUAUAAAGCGUGCAGACGAUCUAACAACUUUUUUGUUAAAUUGUUAUCGCCCUGAAACGGAAAUUCAAUCAUAAUGUAAUUAUUAGGUCCUAUCUCAUCAAGAUUAUCGAAAGCGCAAGUACCGGUAGUUCCUAAAGUAGCGACGACGUAACAUGGAAUGAGGCCUUUC
Molecule: non-coding RNA, 500 nt
Organism: Linepithema humile (Argentine ant)
Lineage: Eukaryota; Metazoa; Arthropoda; Insecta; Hymenoptera; Formicidae
Source: RefSeq, a predicted model, not a curated record